CCGCCCUCCCUCCAUGGAUCGGCUCCUUCCCCAGCACUGAAGGCAUCCUUAGGAAUACACCUCCACCUCCAGGAAAAUAAAAAGAGGCAGAGAAGAGUCUUAACAGAACAGAGAUGAUCCAAGGAGAGAGGGAGAGAGAAUAAAGUUGAUCCAGAUGAGUGAGUGAGUCAGGGAUUUGAGGGCAGCACCAUACACACCAGAAGGAAGGAGAGCUCCUGUGUUUGAACCCAGGCCAGCCUCCAAAUGUCAUGAUUGCUGACUGAGGUUUCUCCUUUGCUGUCUUGAAAUAUGUCUAGUCUAAUAAAGGACUAGGGGUGACAUGAUAGCAGUGUUCCAAUAUUUGAGGGGCUGCCACAAAGAAGAGGCAGUCAAUCUAUUCUCCAGAGCAUCUGAAGCAGUGGUGGGCUGCUACCGCCUGUAACAGCCGGAUCGCCUGAACCGUUCCAAACCACCAGCAGCCGGCCACUGA
Long non-coding RNA from Ahaetulla prasina, 469 nucleotides. RefSeq lists it as uncharacterized. The record is from RefSeq and is a predicted model, not a curated record. Lineage: Eukaryota; Metazoa; Chordata; Lepidosauria; Squamata; Colubridae. The transcript has 3 exons.